RNAcentral lists this transfer RNA (87 nucleotides) under Actinomycetota bacterium. Its description in RNAcentral is "tRNA-Leu". It matches the Rfam family "tRNA". Rfam says of the family: Transfer RNA (tRNA) molecules are approximately 80 nucleotides in length. Their secondary structure includes four short double-helical elements and three loops (D, anti-codon, and T loops). The record is from RNAcentral. Lineage: Bacteria; Bacillati; Actinomycetota.
GCCCGAGUGGUGGAACUGGUAGACACAAGGGACUUAAAAUCCCUCGCCUGUUCAGGUGUGUGGGUUCGACUCCCACCUCGGGCACCA